UAAUUUAAACGGCNNUAUAAUUAUAUUAAAGUAGCGUAAUAAUUUGUCAUUUAAUUAAUGAAUAUAAUGAAGAUUUUAUGAAUUAAAUACUGUCUCUAAAAUAUAAAACAAAAUUAAUAGUUUAGUGAAAAAACUUAAUUAAUUUUAAAAGACGAGAAGACCCUAUAGAACUUAUUUUAAAUUUUAAAUUUACUGGGGAAGUAAAGAUAAAACCAAAAUUAUUUUUAAAUAUGAAAACUUAAAGNUUUUAUAACCACU
Molecule: ribosomal RNA, 258 nt
Filed under: Kladothrips tepperi
Lineage: Eukaryota; Metazoa; Arthropoda; Insecta; Thysanoptera; Phlaeothripidae
Description: partial 16S ribosomal RNA
Source: RNAcentral